RNAcentral lists this long non-coding RNA (2461 nucleotides) under Homo sapiens (human). Its description in RNAcentral is "HSALNT0003263". Lineage: Eukaryota; Metazoa; Chordata; Mammalia; Primates; Hominidae. The record is from RNAcentral.
CAUUCACGGACUCUGGUCUGCUGGGCUGAAAGGUUGCCACAGGGUGUGUGUGUCCAGAAAAGUCCUGAUUUGGGUAGGGGAGAGAAAAGCAGAAAAUUUAGGCUUUCCUGAAGCAUAAUUAUCAUCAUCUGAAUUCCCCUAGAAACAGACCUCAGACAAGGCUUCAAGUGUAAGCAGUUUCUUUGGGAGAUGAUCCCAGAACACACCAGAUGGGACUGGGGGAGCAGCCAGGAAGCAGGGUGUUAUCAAGCAGCUGACCACUAGGGCUACUGGCACUUAAUCCUGCUGGCAACUCAGGGAGCCACUGGGCACACGCACCUCAGAACCAUCCCAGGAGGGGGACGCUCCUGGGCUAUUUACCCACAGUCAUUGUUGAGGAAUGGAAGAGCUGGUGGCUGUGACACUUGCAGCCUGCCACGAUGCAGGGACACUCAGAAUCCAUCCUCAAAGCCCCCAUGCCCAUCGGAGCCUCGCAUAUGCCCAAGCUGCCCCUGCCAGCCCUCAUCUGAACAGGGCCGACCUAUAUCACCUCCUGGGCUUCCCCUGCCCCAGCUCGCCCCUAGGUUCUAAGGGAGAGACCCAGCAGACCAGGGAAGAAACUCCAAGGUCAGCCAGGACACAGCUUAUCCUGGGUUAAAGUGUGAACUAAAAAUUGGAACUCUUUUAAGAUGUCCCCUUUGGUGCCUCCUCUCCUCCCCUUUUGAGUGUCUCUCCUGAGGUCCAAGGCCAGGGGCUCUGCUCUCAGCAGCUGACACAUCCUUAGCAGAGGUGAAGUUAUUUAUCUCAAAGGAACUUAAGGCACUGCUCCCUCCAGGGCCUGUUUGCCAUUUUAUUCAGGACUAAAUGAAUGCAUUACUAAUGGUGGAAAUUCAGACACAAAGAUAGAUGUUUUGGUCCAAGAGUCUGGACCAUCUUGAUAUUCUAUCUGAACAACUCAUAGCUCCAGCCCCACUCCCUUACUCUCAACCCCUCCCCACCUGCUGCACACCCCCAGAUUUGCUAUACCAGGGCCCGUGGCAUCUUUGCCCGCUGAAACCAGGGGUUCCCCAUGAGGGUCUUCCAGAUCACACCCCCUGCGGCAAUUACUAACAGCAGUAUCAGAAGCGAUGGCAGCACCAGGAAAGCCCAGUUGGCUUCUAAGGAAGGAAAAAUAACAAUGAGAGAAACAACAAUGGCUCUUGUCUACAACUGCACCUGUGCCGAGUGCUUCACAUACAUGACCCUAUUUAAUCCUCACAAGAAUAAACCCAUCCUGCAGACUGUGCAAACCAAGGUUUGGGGCAUUAUGUAAGCUGCCCAAAGACACACAAUGAGUGUGGUUUUAAUCCAGGCGAGUCUAUCUCUAGGCUCAUGUUCUUAACCACUGUGUCACGAAGCUCCCAAGGCCCAGAGGGAAAGUUUCUCUUUCUGCACCACUUGAUACCCACCUGGGACCUCCAGCAAGAAGCAGGUGGGCUUAGAGAACUUGCUGUAUUUCGGGACACUGAACGUGUAGAUGGUUCUGGCACUGAGGCAGUGGUGUUCGCUGGCAGCUGGCUGGAGAGUGAUCUGGACUGGCUGGCCAUGGGGAGUGACUGGAAAUAGGGUCUGUUUGGAAAAGAAGCAGAGAGUGGCAGAGCUGCUGUGGGGACUGGUUUCACACAGCCAGGACAGAGUGGGGUUGGCAGACAUGGUAGGGUGUUUUUUUUUUGUUUUUUUUUUUUGUUUUUUUGUAGGGGAUAGGGUUUGGUUCUGUCACCCAGGCCAAAGUGCAGUGGUGUGAUCACAGCUCACUGCAGCCUCAAACUCCUGGGCUCAAGCGAUCCUCCUACCUCAGCUCUCCAAGUAACUAGGGACUACAGAUCCACACCACCAUACCUGGGUAAUUUUUUAAAAUUAUUUUUUGUAUAGGCAAGGUCUUGCUGUUGCCCAGGCUGGUCUCGAACUCCCAGCCUCAAGUGAUCCUCCCUCCUUGCCUGAACUUUCUAUUCUUUUCCUGCAUUAAAGUUUAAGCAUUGAGGAAGCACUUCCCAAGACUACCUGAGUUCUUUUCAGCUGAGUCUAGAGGUAGGGAUAGCCAUGGUUCAAAAGCAGCCUACCACUUGGGGUCGCCCUGGCGUGCACCCCAUUAAGGUCCCUACUUCGAGGAGCAGAUUCUUCAGGCUUUCCAUCUUGGGGUCUCCUAGUCUAUCAGCAGUGGAGGAAACCUCUACAGAUGCUGCACUGUGUGGUAUGGAAGGCACUGGCCACGCGUGACUACUGAGUAUGUGAAAUGCAUCUGGUCCACACUGAGAAGUGUUCCAAGUACAAAACACACAUCAGAUUUUAAAGACGUAGUGAAAAAGAAUGUAAAAGAUCUCAAUCACUAUCAGAAUUGCUCAUUGAAAUGAUACCAUUCAAUUGGAUGAAGUAAAAUCUGUUAUUAAAAUUCGAUUUACCUGUCUCUUUUUACUUAAUUUAACAUGGAACACUUAAAACUGCA